This is a long non-coding RNA of Myodes glareolus (Bank vole), 742 nucleotides long. RefSeq lists it as uncharacterized. NCBI's taxonomy places the organism in Eukaryota, Metazoa, Chordata, Mammalia, Rodentia, Cricetidae. The record is from RefSeq and is a predicted model, not a curated record.
GCCUCGCCGGAGCCAGGCUUUGGCUCCACGCGGCCAUUCGAGGGGCGGAGCCACCGGGAGCUUGGAGGCUGGAUUCUGGAGGCGUUCAUAACUUCUUAUUUUAGGCCGGGAUGUUGGACACGUGCCGGAGAGCCCAGCUCUCUGGAGGCUACGGAGGAGAAUGAUGAGUGUCGAGUUCGAAGCAAACCUGAAUUGAAGAACUAAAGAUUGAGACAGACCCUGCUCGGGAGCGCCCUCUCGUGGCAAACGUCCAGCCAGCUUGCUGCCCGCCCGGGAGGACCCAGGGUCAGGGCUGAUAUGGGAGUAUAGCUUCAACCUCUGGAAAACGCAAGAGCAUUCUGCAGCUUUUCAGGAAAGAAUAUCCGGGAUUGACAGGAAGAGAGAAUAAAUAGGAGAAGUCUGAGAAGAAAAAGAAAGAAGAAACAAGAAGAAAGUGUGAGGACAGCAGAGGCCAACCACCCAUCUACACAGUCAACCACAGAGUUACAUGGAAAGAAAGGCUACAAAUGUGAAGACCAUAAUGUUAAAGAACAUUGACAAAAACAAGAAAGGAGAAGAAAAAUUAUGUAUAUCACCAAAAUUGAUAAAGAUACACUUGGAAAAGGAUAAACCUCUUGAAAAGGAGAAAUGACAGCUCGUUCACAACAGUGACAAUCAUACUGGUGAUGAGAAAAACUCAUAAGGGUUAGGGCAGGGUUCUGCUCUUAUCUUUGCAGGAAAAUAAACAUCAUCAAAAAUUCAA